Molecule: long non-coding RNA, 944 nt
Organism: Saccostrea cuccullata (small rock oyster)
Lineage: Eukaryota; Metazoa; Mollusca; Bivalvia; Ostreida; Ostreidae
Exons: 3
Source: RefSeq, a predicted model, not a curated record
GACCAAGUUUAUUACAAUUUUCCUUAUAUGCACACCAGCUUGGGGCAUUACCCUCACUAUGCACAGCAAGUUGGGCCCUUGUUAUUUUAAACAUCAAGGAAAUGUCAAAUUGCUUUGGCAUUUGCUCCGAGGGAUCAGGUACGCCCGAUAUUUCUUCUUGUCGAUGAAGCUCAACACUCAAAUAAAGGAGCAAACACAGUAACCAGUAUGUUGCAUCACCAUGGUCUUGGAGAAGUAUUGCAGUGGACAAAACAAGAACAACAAAUUCAUAAGGAUGGACAAAGACAAAGACAAUCCUGGUACUGUAUUCCUGCCAGAGACUUUUUCAACGUCCUCAAAGCUUGUGCUACAGUGGAUCCAAAUGCUCUUCCUACUUCGAUUCCUCCCAGGGGUCUAGAUGCACACAGGCAAGCAGUGGUAUCUGUAUGAAGAUGUGCUCCAUAUUGUUUGAACAAGGAAAGUUGCCCAAAUCCAGUUGUCUAAAAUCCCCUCAUCAAGAUAGAAUCUCCUGAUGACAUUGACUUGGAAGUGCAGGAAAUGCAAAAUGACUGGACACAAUAACUCAAAUUGUAGACACUAGUUGUUAGAUAUUAUCUUUCAUGACCUUUCUACUUGUUAAAAAUUAUUGAUAUUUUAAUUUGUUAUUUGCCAUUGUUGCCUGAUACAUGUAAUUCAUUGUUUUAAUGUUGUUUUUUUUUUUCUUCAAUAUGGACCUAUUAAUUGAUAAAAACAUGUACUGUAAAAGCGCAAAUAUUCGUGGGGGAUUAAAUUUCGUUUAUUUCAUUGUUAACAAAAUUCAACGAAAUUAAAUCCCACACGAAAUUUUAUCUGACUAUAUAUUAAAUAGGGUUAGUUUUAAAACAACAAAAUUAAAUGCACACGAAAUUAUUUUUGAUGACAAAACAACGAAAUUUUAUGCCCACGAAAAUCUGUGCUUCUACAGU